UAGGGUGUCUGGUCAACUCUCCCAGUCAAUGAGAAAAAACUCAAUGCAGCCUUUAGAUCGACAAGGAGUGUUAUCUUGAUAUUUUCUGUGAGAGAGAGUGGAAAAUUCCAAGGAUUUGCGAGACUGGCAUCUGAAUCCCAUCACGGAGGAUCUCCUAUACAUUGGGUGCUCCCUGCAGGAAUGAGUGCAAAAAUGCUUGGGGGUGUGUUUAAGAUAGAUUGGAUAUGCAGGCGUGAAUUGCCAUUCACAAAGAC
Molecule: long non-coding RNA, 254 nt
Organism: Sceloporus undulatus (fence lizard)
Lineage: Eukaryota; Metazoa; Chordata; Lepidosauria; Squamata; Phrynosomatidae
Exons: 3
Source: RefSeq, a predicted model, not a curated record